Molecule: long non-coding RNA, 770 nt
Organism: Zea mays
Lineage: Eukaryota; Viridiplantae; Streptophyta; Magnoliopsida; Poales; Poaceae
Exons: 2
Source: RefSeq, a predicted model, not a curated record
GACUCGUCUUAAUUCUCUGUCCUCUACUGGUGGUAAUCCUCACAGUGUGUUGGCUGCUGCCCAGAAACCUAAGAAUAUUUUUAAGCCUUGUGAUCAUUGUGGCAAGACCAAUCAUUGAUCUGAGCUUUGCUUUGUCAAGUUCCCUGAUAAGUUGACUGAUUUCCGUGCACGACGUGCUGCUCGUGGUCGUGGUCCAGGACCAUCUAAUAGAGGCUCAGUUGCUGUUGCUGCCACUUCGUCCGCUUGUACUUCAGAGUCGGCCUGUGUACUUGAUUCAGGAGCUUCCUUUCAUGUCACAUCUGAUCAAUCAAAGUUGGCUUCUACUACACCUGUCACAGAUGGUGCUUCAGUGCAGACAGCUGAUGGACCUUCGCACAGGGGAAGUGAUUGGGACUGGCCGUCGCCGUAGAGCUGCUCCUCGCCUCUACAUCUUGGACUCUUUGCGGCUUCCUUCCUUGGCUACAUCUCCAGCGCAUGUGCUUUCAGCUACCCUUGCUUCUGUUGUGUCUUUUGCCCAGUGGCAUCAUCGUCUAGGUCAUUUGUGUGGAUCUAGAUUGUCUACUCUAAUAAAGUCAGGCUGCUUAGGUCAUACUUCGGUUGAGUCUGAUUUUCAUUGUAAGGGUUGUCAUCUUGGAAAACAAAUACAACUUCCAUAUUUUACUAGUCAUUCUCAUUCUGUUCAACCCUUUGAUUUGGUUCACUCUGAUAUUUGGGGUCCUGCACCUUUUGUGUCAAAAGGUGGAUAUAAAUACUAUGUUAUUUUUAUUGAU